RNAcentral lists this transfer RNA (64 nucleotides) under Pipunculus sp. XL-2018. RNAcentral describes it as "tRNA-Leu". Lineage: Eukaryota; Metazoa; Arthropoda; Insecta; Diptera; Pipunculidae. The record is from RNAcentral.
UCUAAUAUGGCAGAUUAGUGCAAAAGAUUUAAGCCCUUUGUAUAAAGUAUAACUUUUAUUAGAA